CUCUACACUAAACACAGUAUUUCCAUAGCUAAUAUUACUUGCUAAUACUUACCUGUAGGACCUGUUGAGUAAAGUUAACAUGUAUUUGAGUACUUACCAUGAAUAUGUAGACAAAGUAACUGAUAUAAUACUGAGUAUGGGGAGGAUUGAAUGCAGUGCAAAUAUUGCAAAUUGGAAAGCUCCAAUCAAGAGAUAUCUGAAAAAUGUCAUGGCAUCACCAGCAAAGACCUCCUGAAGACUUUCAAUGAGUGCCUUGAGAAUUAUGUGGCUCGCCUGCUCAGACUGUACCGGGCUAGAAAGGGAGCUAUUGGUCAGCAGAUAGAAGACUUCCUGGAUAAGCUUGAU
Long non-coding RNA from Nerophis ophidion (straightnose pipefish), 345 nucleotides. RefSeq lists it as uncharacterized. NCBI's taxonomy places the organism in Eukaryota, Metazoa, Chordata, Actinopteri, Syngnathiformes, Syngnathidae. The transcript is spliced from 3 exons. The record is from RefSeq and is a predicted model, not a curated record.